AACACCCCUGAAGAAGCCCAUGAGGAGGAGUCACUGGAUUCUCCUCGUCAGCCCAGCGAGGCCCUGGGCAGAAUUGAGAUGGUUCACCAGGGAGGAUUGGCUCUAGGUGCAGACCAUGGCCUAGGAACUAAGAGACUGCAGGGGUGGGUGCUGGAUGGUGAACGUAGCCCUAGGUAGGGUCCAGGGCCCAAGUCUGAAAGAGGCAGGCAACCCCCAGAACACCAAUGGCCUCUGCUCCAGGAGUCUUGCUUGUUCUGUACCAAGGAAAGAUCCUCCUGCGCUGACCUAGUGACUGGCUCCCAAGCCCUGCCAUGCCUGCUGUCCGUCCGUCCACUGCUGGGGUCAGAAGUGACAUCACCUUUCAGCAAGGUGGCCUAAGGGAAAUCAUGGGAACAACCAGAUGGCACCAUAUUGCAGCUCAGUGACCAGUUCCUGUACAGGCCCUUGCCAGUGCCACAGUCUUUAGGAGCACAGAGAUGAUACCACGCAGUGCAAUCCAUGUGCAUCCAACACAGCCUGUGCCCACUGUCUCCACAAGGCUUGCUUUUGAUAAACGUUGGUCUUCUAUGGGUCCUGAAGUCCUCCACUUGCACAUGGAGAGAACGUGCCAUUCUCCAUC
Long non-coding RNA from Mauremys mutica (yellowpond turtle), 619 nucleotides. RefSeq lists it as uncharacterized. The transcript has 3 exons. The record is from RefSeq and is a predicted model, not a curated record. Lineage: Eukaryota; Metazoa; Chordata; Testudines; Geoemydidae.